RNAcentral lists this ribosomal RNA (442 nucleotides) under uncultured bacterium. Its description in RNAcentral is "bacterial SSU rRNA". It matches the Rfam family "Bacterial small subunit ribosomal RNA", at positions 355 to 787 of the family's 1533-position model. The record is from RNAcentral.
UAGGGAAUCUUCGGCAAUGGGGGCAACCCUGACCGAGCAACGCCGCGUGAGUGAAGAAGGUUUUCGGAUCGUAAAGCUCUGUUGUAAGAGAAGAACGGGUAUGAGAGUGGAAAGCUCAUACUGUGACGGUAUCUUACCAGAAAGGGACGGCUAACUACGUGCCAGCAGCCGCGGUAAUACGUAGGUCCCGAGCGUUAUCCGGAUUUACUGGGUGUAAAGGGAGCGUAGACGGACGGGCAAGUCUGAAGUGAAAGGCAGGGGCUCAACCCCUGGACUGCUUUGGAAACUGUCCAUCUAGAGUGCCGGAGAGGUAAGCGGAAUUCCUAGUGUAGCGGUGAAAUGCGUAGAUAUUAGGAGGAACACCAGUGGCGAAGGCGGCUUACUGGACGGUAACUGACGUUGAGGCUCGAAAGCGUGGGGGAGCAAACAGGAUUAGAUACCC